RNAcentral lists this small nuclear RNA (81 nucleotides) under Rattus norvegicus (Norway rat). RNAcentral's name for it is "U4 spliceosomal RNA". It matches the Rfam family "U4 spliceosomal RNA", at positions 1 to 81 of the family's 138-position model. Rfam says of the family: U4 small nuclear RNA (U4 snRNA) is a component of the major U2-dependent spliceosome. The record is from Rfam by way of RNAcentral. Lineage: Eukaryota; Metazoa; Chordata; Mammalia; Rodentia; Muridae.
AGCUUUGCGCAGUGGCAGUAUCGUAGCCAAUGAGGUUUAUCCGAGGCGCGAUUAUUGCUAAUUGAAACUUGCAAGUUAUUA